UCUGCAGUGUUGUACAGAUUCCCAGUGGU
Molecule: non-coding RNA, 29 nt
Filed under: Rattus norvegicus (Norway rat)
Lineage: Eukaryota; Metazoa; Chordata; Mammalia; Rodentia; Muridae
Source: RNAcentral